CAAUUAUUUAUAGCCUCUGGCUAUAGGAAAUUGUUAGUGGCAGACGGGUGAGUAAUGCGUAGGAAUCUACCUAGUAGUACGGAAUAGCCAUUAGAAAUGGUGGGUAAUACUGUAUAAUCCCCGAGGGGGAAAGAUUUAUCGCUAUUAGAUGAGCCUACGUUAGAUUAGCUAGUUGGUGAGGUAAUGGCUUACCAAGGCUAUGAUCUAUAGCUGGUCUGAGAGGACGAUCAGCCACACUGGAACUGAGAUACGGUCCAGACUCCUACGGGAGGCAGCAGUGGGGAAUAUUGGACAAUGGGCGAAAGCCUGAUCCAGCUAUGCCGCGUGAGUGAAGAAGGCCUUCGGGUUGUAAAACUCUUUCA
This 362-nucleotide ribosomal RNA is filed under the name Ehrlichia canis. RNAcentral describes it as "bacterial SSU rRNA". It matches the Rfam family "Bacterial small subunit ribosomal RNA", at positions 64 to 438 of the family's 1533-position model. Lineage: Bacteria; Pseudomonadati; Pseudomonadota; Alphaproteobacteria; Rickettsiales; Anaplasmataceae. The record is from RNAcentral.